CUGUUAGUCAGUCCAUCCGUCCCUCAGUCCUGUUCUUGUCAUAUCAACUCCUCUAAAACCACACAACAGAAUUUCAUGAAACUUUGUAGAUAAUUAAGCACUGAUAUGAUAAAAUGUGAAACAAUUCAAAAGAGAAAAUCAACAGCCUAUUACAACAAUGAAGAGGGUUGGGGAAUACAGCUACAAACAACAACCACUACACUACAGGUUCCUUGAUAUGGACAGGGGAUACAGCUACCAACAACAACCACUACACAACAUGUUCCUUGAUAUGGACAGGGGAUACAGCUACCAACAACAACCACUACACUACAGGUUCCUCGACAUGGACAGGGGAUACAGCUACCAACGACAACCACUACAGGUUCCUCGACAGGCACAUAAUCAGAUUGUAAACAGAUCAAUUGUUUAAUGUGAUUGCCAUCAUGUCCUUGCUUAUUUGUUGACAGUUCAGAGAGGCUUGAAAUUAAUGAAUUUAAUAUUGUCUUAAUGCUGGUGAAUAAAACUUUUGAAAUUUUUAGGUCUGCGGAAGUGCAAUUGAUGUUCUUGUGUUUGAUGGAAAAAAUCACUCCCUGUUUGUAGAAUACCUCAUUUAGGUAAGUAAUCAGAUAUACAAGCGUUGGUCGUCUGUCUUUCUUCCAGUGUAAACUUUUUCAGAGAUCUUCUCUGAAAACACCGGACCAAAAAGUGACCUAAAUAAAAAAAAUAAGCAUGUAAAGAUUUAUCUGCAACGAAAAUUUCAAACCAAUCGAACAACCCUAUUUUGAGUUAUUGCUGUGAUCGGGAAGGCCGUGCACCAUGCACAAAUUGUGCAUUUUGACGAGAAAUGGCGCAUAGAGUGGCAAAUGUCAGCGCCAGUGUAUCUAAAUGUGUAGAUCUAUUAAAAUGAAUUUCCGAUCGUGUUUCGUGUCGCUAUAUUUGUGUACAAAACUGUGUUGUGUUCCCUCCAAUGACAGGAGCACCACCUAUAUAUUUUUUGGGCCUUCUCGGGUGUUUUUCUUCAUGUUAAGGAUAGCAAUUUUGCGGUAUAUCUGAUUACCGCAAAAAUGCAAUUAACCAUCAUCCAUGAUCUAAAAUUUUAAAGUAAACAACUUAAAUUUUGUGAAAGUUGGCUAGAACAGACGAGAAUUUGUUUUUUAAAGUUAUAACUACGAGAAAAAUCUGUCACCUUGUUUUAUAGAGUGAUUGUCCCUGAAAAUCAUUUUUUGAAGUGUUUUGCUGUUAUUGAUAAACAUGUAGGAGCUAGGUUAAACGUGUAAAUUACAAAAAUUAUCAGUUGACAUGAUUUUAUUACUCUGAAAAUGUUGAAAAAAAUAUGUCAACCUGUGUUUUUGAGUUAUUGCCCCUGAAUGAUACUUUUUCCCCUUUUUGCCUGUUAUUUAAAAAAAAUAGGAGCUAGCUAUAGGUUAAAAGUGUAAACUAUAAUACGAUCCGCAUGACAAGAUCUUUUUACUCAGAUUUUCCAGUUUUAGAGUUAUUGCCCCUGAAAUAUUGAUUUUUACAGGUUUUUGCCUGCGACUUCUGUCCUCAUGCCUGUCGGACAGUUUUCAUUUGACCUUGACCUCAUUUCACAGAUUAGUGGACAAGGUUAAGUUUUUUGGUCAAGUUCAUAUCUCAGAAAUAAGCAUUUGCUUAAAUACUAUAUGCAAUUGGUCAACUAUAUUUGAUGCAUGAAAUGAUUGUAAGGUGUACAUGUCUGUCUGACAGGGAUCAUCUGACCUUUACCUAAAUUUCAUGGUUCUUAUAUUGUCAAUAUAGUAUUUUAAUGAUUUGGUCUGUUUCUUGUAUACUACUAGCAAAAGAUCAACUAUAUUUGGUGUAUGGAAUGAUUGUAAGGUGUACAUGUAUUUCUGGCUUUGUUUAUCUAACCUUGACCUAUUUUUUGAUUUGAUCAUAUUAAGUUUAUGUGAUACUUGUAGUAAAACUUUAUAUUUAGGAAUAUAAACAUAAAUGGUCAGUAAAGUAGGCGAGAAAUUUCAGCGUAUGCACUCAUAUUUGCAGUUUUUACUGUUAACUAAAAACCUAUAGGAAUUAGGUUAAAUAUGUAAAUUGCAAAAAUUAUCAGCAACACAAAGAGUAACCAGUAUGCGCAUAUAAAAAUCGUAGUUAGCAAGCUAGUGAUAUUUUCACCAGGUGAGCGACACAAAAUAGUGCAGAAGAGUUGACAUAGUCCAUAAGGAUCAGGUAUUUUCAACUGGCAUUAACAUUUAUAACUCAAUGGCAACUACACAUCGUUUUUAUUUUCUAUUUUUAGGUUAUAAUGGAAAAUUGGAAUAGG
RNAcentral lists this long non-coding RNA (2278 nucleotides) under Mytilus galloprovincialis (Mediterranean mussel). The record is from RNAcentral. Lineage: Eukaryota; Metazoa; Mollusca; Bivalvia; Mytilida; Mytilidae.